UUUUCUUUUACAGUUGAGGAAACCAUGGUUCAGACAGGUAAAAUCUCACAAAAUCACAUAGCUUGAACUUACUGAAUUUUGUAUUUCAAAGACUACCAGUUACCUCUCGCUUUAAUGAAAACAAUGAUGAGAUGACAUGAAAGUCCAGGGACUUUCACUGUAUCAGUAAGAUGUCAUGCUUCCAUAUUGAUUUCCUGUGUAAAAUAUGCAAUUUCAAAAGGCUUUCAAUUCUUAUUAGUGGAAACUCCUCUUUAAAAAUCCUACUAAUUAGUCAUAAAUUCUCUGUCUAGGUCAAUAUCCAGUAACAAACUUGCACAUGUACCCCCUGAAUUUAUAAGUAUAUAUAGAUAUUUUUUUUUAAAAAAAUCUUACUAAUUAAUGUGUUGCUUAUCUCACUCCUGUCCUGUGACAUUUCUCCCAAUCCCACAUGCCAGGAUACAUCAUUCUAGCAUUUCUGUGAUCUUCCCUUGCUCUGAAAAUAUCUUUAUUAAAAAAUAGAAUAUUUCCUUUUUAGCAAAAAUGUUAUUUUUUAGAUUCUGCAGUUGUCUUUUUUACUAUUUUCUGAGCUCUAAGUUGUCUCUUUUUGUUUCUAGGAUGGCACAUCUCAGUAUCUUUUGAGUUAAGACAAUGAUGGGUUUAAGGAAUAGCCUUCUGUUUUGUAGCCACUCCAUGAAAUCUUGGGGCCUGACAAUCCCUGGAUAACAGGAAAUCUUUAUACAUGUAGCUGGUUUAAAGGGACUUCCAAUGAAUACUUCUUUUUAAGUAGAAGGUUCUGAAUUAUCAGUAGAUAAGACCAGUAUAACCGUUAGAAUCUUUGGGAGCACACCCGAUUACAUACUUGGACUUUAGUUUUUGACAGAGCCCUGAGCAACUGCUCACAAGGGAAAGCAUAUGUAGAUUGAAGCUAUGCAGAAUGAAGUCUCAACAGCUGAAGCUUACUGGGGAACCAAUGGUGCCCUAAAUUAAGAUAAUUUAUGAAAUGUUGGUCUCCCUCUGUUGCUGCCCAGGCUCCAGGCUGAAGUGCAGAGGCAUGAUCUUGGCUCACUGCCGCCUCCUCUUCCCAGGCUCAAGCGAUCCUCCCACAUUUGCCUCCUGAGUAGCUGAGACUACAGUCUUGCCUUGUCACCCAGGCUGGAGUGCAAUGGCACAAUCUCGGCUCACUGCAAUCUCUGCCUCCCAGGUUCAAGUGAUUCUUCUGCCUCAGCCUCCCAAGCAACUGGGACUACAGCCCCUGAAAAGUAGCAGCAAUGUGCCCUGCAACAGAAUCUGCACACUACAGAGAUACUACAAAAGCUACCAUGAAGAAGCUACAUAGAUGAUCACUGGGUUGUACCUCUCAAGUACUUUCUCAGAAGCCACAUCCAUGUUAUUGCUGAGAGUACAUGCUUUGCUAUAAACCCUAACUGGGUUGAAUCCUGGCUGUGCCACUUAGUAGCUAAGAGAUUUUGACCAAAUCACUGGCAGAGACCUUUGUCCCCUUGUCUAUGAAAUAAAAUAAAAAUAGCUACCGCUCUGAGAUUUUUCAAUAAAACCUGUUAAAUUUUACAAGGUUAACUGGCUAGUAUUUAAGUUUUGCAUUAUCAUGUGCUAUCCUGGCCAUCUUGAGAGCUGUGCUGAUAACUGGCACAUGAAUAUGUCUACAUAUUUCAAGUUAAAUCUGCUGUCAUAUCAGAAUAUAAUUUUAUAAAACUAAGCUUAUUAUCUUUUCUUUUGAACUUUUCCUGUUCAUUGUUUUUGCCAAUAUUUUACUUAAAAGGAUCAACUUGCUUUCGUACGUAAGAGAUUUCUGGAAAAUACAUUAGAAAGUCAAGCAUGUUUUUACAAAAAAUCCUGAAACAACUAGGGGGCAGUGCUGCCAAACGAUAGCUCAAAAUCAUCAUUAGUCAGCUGAGGUGUGAAAAACCAUUUAGAUCCAAAAAGCAGAUGAGGGAUUGUGAUGGAAUGUAUUAAUUAAAUUGAACAUCAUAUGAAAGCCAAAUUCAUGGUAGAUGCAGACCACCAUAUUUUUCUAUGUAUGGGAACUUAUAAGCCCUGAGUCACCUUUGACUAUUCCUUAUUCCCAUAUUCAUGAGGCUCAGCCUCAUCUUUGUUGGGGUCUUAUUUUGUUGGUAAUGUAUUUUUCAUCAGCCCUUUCCUUCUUCUCAUAAUUCCAGUCUUAAGUCAACUUCUUAUCACUGAGACUAAUCAAUACCUCUUACUUGAUACCACUACAUUUAAAAGAUAUUGGCUUUCCAAAAUUCAGCUUUCCUCCCCAAGAGGCGUUAUAAAAUGCACUAUAACAUGCAUGAGGUUCUGGCCCUUGCUGUCAGAAAUAUCUGCAUUUGCAACUUGGUUUCACUAUGUACUGUGAGAGUUUGGGUAAAUUGAUUAAACUGGCUUAAUCUCAGAUUCUCAACCUUAAUUAAAUAAUUAUUUAGAAAAUGCUCUCCCUUCAUUGCACAUUCCCCUUCCAAUUCCUGCCUUGUUUCUCAGCUUUUUAAAUAGACUCCUUGUAAAUAGUAUUUGUACUGCUAUCUCCAUUUCUUCACCUCCUGUCUCUCUCUAUAGCAUACCAACUAGGCUUUUGGGACUACCUGUCUGUGAAAACAGCCUUUGUCCUCCUAAUUUUCUGCCUUUUGUUUUAGGCAUUGUCAGCCCUUCUCCUCUCCUCCCCUCACCUAAUCCUUUAUCUUCUCCUCUCUCCCUUUCUGCUCCUUUUCUUUCCUUUUCUAGGUAAUGUCAUUGUCUCUUAACUUUAAAUAAUAACUAUACACUGACACUCUCAAAAUCUGAAUUCCACUCUAAUAAAACAACUUGUUUACUCAUAAUUUUGAACUGUGUCUGUCAUUUCAAAUUUUACAUAACCCAUGGGAAUUUCCAUUUCUGUCCUCUGAAACUUCAAGUCUUUCUUAUUUCAGUUUAUGCUACCACCAUCCACUUGCCGCUGCAAAAAUAAAGAAUAACAACAACAAUAAAACAAACAAACAAACAAACAAAAAGAGUCAUUCUUAAUUCUUCUCUUUAUGCUUGCCCUAUAUCUGAUCUCUCUGGUUGAAUUCAGUCCGGUGGGCUUUUACCUCCAAAACACAUAUCCAUAUCUUUCCCAUAUAUGUCCACUGCUUAUGCUGCCAAUGUAGCUCAAAGAAGACUGUAACUGUUUUUUCUGCAUCUACUCUUGUACCCUUUACAGGCUAUUUUCUACACAGCAUGCACAGUCUAUUAAUAGCGGUUAUUAUAUCAGGUCAGUUUUUUUCUUAAAACCCUCUAAUGACUUCCCGUUGUAAUUUGAAUAUGAUAUAAAUGCAAUGCCACUGCCUAGAAGGCCCUGCUUGCUUUAUAUACUAUUUUUAGCUCCAAAUUCCUCUCAAUACACUUUCUUAGACGCCAUCGAGAAACAGUAGCCUUCUUUCAGUCUCUAUAAUCACACCAUCCUAUAUGGUAGCUAUGAGUCACAAAUGACUAUGAUUACUUAAAAUACAAUCACCAUAUCUAAAUAUUCUAAUUUGAAUUCACUUUGUAAGUCUAAAAUAUGUAGCAUAUUUUUAAACCUUAGUAUAAAAAAUUAAAGUAAAAUAUUUUCAUUAAUAUUUAAUUUGAUUAUAUGUAGAAAUGCUGUUUAGGGUAUAUUACAUAAAAUAAGACAAAAUUUAGUAUUAUUGUAAUUGAACCACUUUAAUUUUACUCUUUAAAUGUCUCCUAACAAAUUUAAGAUUACAUAUGUGUCUUGUAUUGUAUUUCUAGUGUACCACAUAUUUCUAGAACCAGCUAAACUUACUUCUCUCUCAGAAACUUUGUAAUUUUUCUUUCUGGUUAUCUUUUCUUUUUAAUAUUCUCCCCCAAAAAGUUCAAUUUAUUGUUUGUUCACCUCUCAGAUCUCAAGUCAAAUUACAUUUCUUCAAAAUGUUCUUGAUUGAUCAUCCUACAUAAAAUUUUCCUGCUCUUGGCUUCCCAGUUCUACUAUAUUUACUCUUUAUAACAUUUCCUCUUUCAUUUCAUUCUUAGCUCUUCUAAUUCUUCAGAAUUAUUAGUUUGGUCAUGUAUAAGUUCAGCGAAUGGAAGGAUAUCUUCUACGUUGUCAAUUUCUGUGUCCUAGGAUUCUAUCAUAGUUAAUGGCACGUUGUAGAUACUCAAUUUAUAAUAAUUCAUUGAGAUACUGAAUCACUUGCUGGCCAACUGUCUACAAUACUGUCAUUUUAACUUCCAUUUUCACAUACCCCAUGCCUAGCAGUUUUUUUUUUUUCUGAGAUUAUAAAAAACAAUUUCAGUUGGGGAAAAAAUAAACUAGGAUACUCAAGUUUGUCAUUAAUGGGGUAUAGAAAAUGCCACCCCAAAAUGUGGAAUCUUGCCAUACUGAGUAUUUUAAAGCUGAAAUAAAUUGAGAAAACUGCAGAAGCGGGAAGGUCUCUCUAACUUUGUCCCUCCCCUCUCUCCUAAAGAACCUCAUGUGACAGAUGUCCUGUCUUACUACAGGAGAGAAGAAAUGUCACACGGAGAGUCCAAGAAGAAUCUGAACAAACAGGCCUUGUUAAGUUUACCCCAGUUUAUUAUCCUUAGAUCAUACUCUUUUGUGCUCCAAUCACACUUUUGUAUGACUUUCUGUAAAAAUGCACAGUUUUCCCUGGUUCUUUCCAUGUUCAAUUCUGAAGGCUUUGUUUCAUAUAAAACUUACGUUAAAUAAAUUUGGUUAUCCUAU
Molecule: long non-coding RNA, 4672 nt
Filed under: Homo sapiens (human)
Lineage: Eukaryota; Metazoa; Chordata; Mammalia; Primates; Hominidae
Description: HSALNT0108074
Source: RNAcentral